GAAGAUCUUAAUUAUUGCUUGGUUAGCCUGUUAAGCUCCUAGAUUUUUUUCCCAUAUGUGAUUACCAUUUUAUCUAAAUUUGGUAGUAGAUAAAAAUUUAAUUUGGCCAUUCAUAACGUCAUGAUGCUUUCUUGUUUAAUUGCCAAUAACUACAAUGAGUAUCCACCCAGUUGUGCUAUUAUUCUGUUAAUGUUUUUUCUCUAAUUUCCAUGAGUCAGAUGAUCAGAUUAUACAUCAGUUGCAAAUGCUUUGUUUUGCCACCAGCCAUCAUCCUCUGAAUGGUUCUUCAUUGUCUCUUCUGGUCAAUGCCGAAUGUAAACAUUUGGUUCACUGCUAUAAUUUUAAUUGUUGGCAUGAGGAAAAGGGCAUUGCUAUGGCAUAAAUGAUAAAUCUGUCUCUCCUUUCUCUUGUUAAUGAUGAUGUUUGCUCCUUUUCCUCGAAGUAAACCCUUUUGAAGCAAUCCAUACUUGAGCAUCAGGUGCACAAAAAAAGACUUUGAAAAAUUUCAACAUUGAGGGUUGGAAACGAACGCUGCAUAUAUCUUUUUGUUUUGGUAUCAUGUGAUAGUUAGAAUCUUAUCCUUUGAGCUUUUUGUCGUUUCCAUGCUCUGAAUUUCUUUUAAUCCCCAGAUGCAUCUAAAUAAAGCAUAUGUAUAUACAGUUGGUAAUUAAUUAGAUAAGGUUUUGGAUCAGAUGGAGGACGGUAAUGUGCAAUCAAGGUACGUGAAGUUAACGAAGGAGCAAGCGCCGGCAUAAGAUAUCACCCCCGGCGAACUCAAUCAGCCGAUUCCAGUUCCUCAGUUAAUUAUACACGGAUGUGCUGAAUGCGGCCAAGCUCUACCUGAAAGCUAUGAACCUCCUGCCGAUGAAGAUUGGACAACCGGAAUAUUUGGCUCUGCUGAUGACACUGAGAGUUGUAAGACUCCACAUCUAUGUUUUUCUUUUUUUUGGCCAUUAAUUUUUCUGACUUUGUCAUCAUUUCGACUGAAACAUCCAUGGAAAGAGUUAGGACGCUAAUCUUUUCUUUCAUAUGCUGGAAUUUGGAAGGCAAUUUGUUCUUUGCUUGCGCAAAUAUUAAUCUAAUCAGUUUGAUAUUCUAAAUUUUUCAAGAAGUUUGGUCCCUUCUGAGAAUUAUUUCUUGAGACUCGUUGCGGAGGCACAGUAAGCUGUGUAUAGAGGGAAGGAUAUUCAGUGAAAGAUAAUCAAGAUGCAGUGGCAGAAAUUAAACUUUCCACGCCUAUGAUGCUUCAAUCAGAGGGUCUUACAUUUCGCAUUUGAGAGAGUAAAUUUGGGGGAAUCCUUUGGGUUGGUAGGAGUAAGAAAGCAGAAAGGUUAUUAUGCAAAGACCUAUACCUCUAGUGGAUUGCUUAAAAUAAUAAUAGGUACUGAAAGUUAGUUUUUCCUUCCAAUGAUUGUCGUAUUAAAGUAAUAUCAUUACGUAUGUUGCAGGCCGCAUGUUGCAGGCCGCACUGGCCUCUUUUGCCCAUGUGUGUUGUUU
RNAcentral lists this unclassified non-coding RNA (1497 nucleotides) under Hevea brasiliensis (rubber tree). Lineage: Eukaryota; Viridiplantae; Streptophyta; Magnoliopsida; Malpighiales; Euphorbiaceae. The record is from RNAcentral.